This 390-nucleotide ribosomal RNA is filed under the name uncultured bacterium. RNAcentral's name for it is "bacterial SSU rRNA". It matches the Rfam family "Bacterial small subunit ribosomal RNA", at positions 29 to 407 of the family's 1533-position model. The record is from RNAcentral.
AACGAACGCUGGCGGCGCGCCUAACACAUGCAAGUCGAACGAGAAGCCGUAGCAAUACGGUUGUAAAGUGGCAAACGGGUGAGCAAUACAUGGGUAACCUACCCUCAGGUGGGGAAUAACCUCCCGAAAGGGAAGCUAAUGCCGACGAUACCCACCGGCCUCAUAAGAGGUUGUUGGAAAGCCGAACCGAGGGUUCGGUGCCUAAGGAUGGGCUCAUGUCCUAUCAGCUUGUUGGCGGGGUAAUGGCCCACCAAGGCUGCGACGGGUAGCUGGUCUGAGAGGACGACCAGCCACACUGGCACUGCGACACGGGCCAGACUCCUACGGGAGGCAGCAGUGAGGAAUCUUGCGCAAUGGGCGAAAGCCUGACGCAGCGACGCCGCGUGGGGA